Molecule: ribosomal RNA, 671 nt
Filed under: Bacillus cereus
Lineage: Bacteria; Bacillati; Bacillota; Bacilli; Caryophanales; Bacillaceae
Description: bacterial SSU rRNA
Rfam family: Bacterial small subunit ribosomal RNA
Source: RNAcentral
AGUCGAGCGAAUGGAUUAAGAGCUUGCUCUUAUGAAGUUAGCGGCGGACGGGUGAGUAACACGUGGGUAACCUGCCCAUAAGACUGGGAUAACUCCGGGAAACCGGGGCUAAUACCGGAUAACAUUUUGAACCGCAUGGUUCGAAAUUGAAAGGCGGCUUCGGCUGUCACUUAUGGAUGGACCCGCGUCGCAUUAGCUAGUUGGUGAGGUAACGGCUCACCAAGGCAACGAUGCGUAGCCGACCUGAGAGGGUGAUCGGCCACACUGGGACUGAGACACGGCCCAGACUCCUACGGGAGGCAGCAGUAGGGAAUCUUCCGCAAUGGACGAAAGUCUGACGGAGCAACGCCGCGUGAGUGAUGAAGGCUUUCGGGUCGUAAAACUCUGUUGUUAGGGAAGAACAAGUGCUAGUUGAAUAAGCUGGCACCUUGACGGUACCUAACCAGAAAGCCACGGCUAACUACGUGCCAGCAGCCGCGGUAAUACGUAGGUGGCAAGCGUUAUCCGGAAUUAUUGGGCGUAAAGCGCGCGCAGGUGGUUUCUUAAGUCUGAUGUGAAAGCCCACGGCUCANCCGUGGAGGGUCAUUGGAAACUGGGAGACUUGAGUGCAGAAGAGGAAAGUGGAAUUCCAUGUGUANCGGUGAAAUGCGUAGAGAUAUGGAGGAACACCA